GCGGAAGUGGUGGAACUGGCAGACACGCCAUCUUGAGGGGGUGGUGGGGCAACCCGUGGGGGUUCAAGUCCCCCCUUCCGCACCA
RNAcentral lists this transfer RNA (85 nucleotides) under Acidobacteriota bacterium. RNAcentral describes it as "Acidobacteria bacterium (hot springs metagenome) tRNA-Leu". It matches the Rfam family "tRNA". From Rfam's summary of the family: Transfer RNA (tRNA) molecules are approximately 80 nucleotides in length. Their secondary structure includes four short double-helical elements and three loops (D, anti-codon, and T loops). Further hydrogen bonds mediate the characteristic L-shaped molecular structure. tRNAs have two regions of fundamental functional importance: the anti-codon, which is responsible for specific mRNA codon recognition, and the 3' end, to which the tRNAs corresponding amino acid is attached (by aminoacyl-tRNA synthetases). tRNAs cope with the degeneracy of the genetic code in two manners: having more than one tRNA (with a specific anti-codon) for a particular amino acid; and 'wobble' base-pairing, i.e. permitting non-standard base-pairing at the 3rd anti-codon position. The record is from RNAcentral. Lineage: Bacteria; Pseudomonadati; Acidobacteriota.